RNAcentral lists this ribosomal RNA (511 nucleotides) under uncultured bacterium. RNAcentral describes it as "bacterial SSU rRNA". It matches the Rfam family "Bacterial small subunit ribosomal RNA", at positions 15 to 518 of the family's 1533-position model. The record is from RNAcentral.
GAUUCUGGCUCAGGAUGAACGCUAGCGACAGGCUUAACACAUGCAAGUCGAGGGGCAGCACGGGAGUAGCAAUACAACUGGUGGCGACCGGCGCACGGGUGAGUAACGCGUAUGCAACCUACCUAUCAGAGGGGAAUAACCCGGCGAAAGUCGGACUAAUACCGCAUAAAACAGGGGCACCGCAUGGUGAUAUUUGUUAAAGAGAUUCGCUGAUAGAUGGGCAUGCGUUCCAUUAGGUAGUUGGUGAGGUAACGGCUCACCAAGCCGACGAUGGAUAGGGGAACUGAGAGGUUGGUCCCCCACACUGGUACUGAGACACGGACCAGACUCCUACGGGAGGCAGCAGUGAGGAAUAUUGGUCAAUGGGCGGGAGCCUGAACCAGCCAAGUCGCGUGAAGGAAGAAGGAUCUAUGGUUCGUAAACUUCUUUGCAGGGGAAUAAAGUGCAGGACGUGUCCUGUUUUGUAUGUACCCUGAGAAUAAGGAUCGGCUAACUCCGUGCCAGCCGCGGC